AGAUUGAACGCUGGCGGCAUGCUUUACACAUGCAAGUCGAACGGCAGCACGGGGCGAACCCUCGGUGGCGAGUGGCGAACGGGUGAGUAAUGCAUCGGAACGGUAUCCUUGAGUGGGGGAGUAACGCAGCGAAAGUUAGUGCUAAUAACCGCAUACGACCGAGAGGUGAAAGACGGGGCCGGAAAGGACUCGCGCAGCAGGAUGAGCCGAUGUCCGAUUAGCUGGUUGGUGGGUAACGGCCCACCAAGGCGACGAUCGGUAGCUGGUCUGAGAGGAUGAUCAGCCACACUGGGACUGAGACACGGCCCAGACUCCUACGGGAGGCAGC
Molecule: ribosomal RNA, 328 nt
Filed under: uncultured prokaryote
Description: bacterial SSU rRNA
Rfam family: Bacterial small subunit ribosomal RNA
Source: RNAcentral